This 206-nucleotide microRNA precursor is filed under the name Oryza brachyantha (malo sina). RNAcentral describes it as "MIR812 microRNA precursor family". It matches the Rfam family "MIR812 microRNA precursor family". Lineage: Eukaryota; Viridiplantae; Streptophyta; Magnoliopsida; Poales; Poaceae. The record is from Rfam by way of RNAcentral.
AUUAAGGUCAUUUUUUAGUUUUUAUAUACAAUAUUUUGACUCUUCCUCUUAUUUGAAUUUUUUACGGUUAAUAUUUUUAUUAUUACUAGAUGGUAAAACAUGAAUAGUAUUUUAUGCAUGACUAAUUUUUUAUGUUAUUGUACAAAAAUUUUAAAUAAGAUGAAUGGUAAAACGUUGGAGCAUGAAAAUCAAAAAAUAAAGUUAUU